GAUGAACGCUGGCGGCGUGCCUAAUACAUGCAAGUCGAGCGAACGGACGAGGAGCUUUCUCCUUUGACGUUAUCGGCGGACGGGUGAGUAACACGUGGAUAACCUACCUAUAAGACUGGGAUAACUUCGGGAAACCGGAGCUAAUACCGGAUAAUAUAUUGAACCGCAUGGUUCAAUAGUGAAAUACGGUUUUGCUUUCACUUAUAGAUUGAUCCGCGCCGCAUUAGCUAGUUGGCAAGGUAACGGCUUACCAAGGCAACGAUGCGUAGCCGACCUGAGAGCGUGAUCGGACAGACGGGAACUGAGAAUCGGUCCAGACUCCUACGGGAGGAAGCAGUAGGGAAUCUUACGCGAUGGGGGAAAGCCUGACGGAGCAACGCCGCGUGAGUGAUGAAGGUCUUCGGAUCGUAAAACUAUGUUAUUAGGGAAGAACAAAUGUGUAAGUAACUAUGAACGUCUUGACGGUACCUAAUCAGAAAGCCACGGCUAACUACGUG
Molecule: ribosomal RNA, 497 nt
Filed under: uncultured bacterium
Lineage: Bacteria
Description: partial 16S ribosomal RNA
Rfam family: Bacterial small subunit ribosomal RNA
Source: RNAcentral